This 253-nucleotide ribosomal RNA is filed under the name uncultured bacterium. RNAcentral's name for it is "partial 16S ribosomal RNA". It matches the Rfam family "Bacterial small subunit ribosomal RNA", at positions 524 to 776 of the family's 1533-position model. The record is from RNAcentral.
UACGUAGGGCGCAAGCGUUAUCCGGAAUUAUUGGGCGUAAAGGGCUCGUAGGCGGUCUGUCGCGUCGGGAGUGAAAACUCAGGGCUUAACCCUGAGCCUGCUCCCGAUACGGGCAGACUAGAGGUAUGCAGGAGAGAACGGAAUUCCUGGUGUAGCGGUGAAAUGCGCAGAUAUCAGGAGGAACACCGAUGGCGAAGGCAGGUCUCUGGGCCACUACUGACGCUGAGAAGCGAAAGCAUGGGGAGCGAACAGG